Molecule: long non-coding RNA, 1162 nt
Filed under: Chelonoidis abingdonii (Abingdon island giant tortoise)
Lineage: Eukaryota; Metazoa; Chordata; Testudines; Testudinidae
Description: lncRNA (ENSCABG00000021651.1)
Source: RNAcentral
UACCUCCACCCACCCCCUCUAUCCAUCCCCUCUAUCUAUCUAUCCAUCCCCCCAUCUAUCUAUCUACCCCAGCCACCCCCUCUAUCUAUCUAUCCACCCCCCCUCUAUCUAUGUAUCCACCCCCAGCCAUCCCCUCUAUCUGCCCCCCAUCUAUCUAUCUACUCCAGCCACCCCCUCUAUCUAUCUAUCCACCCUCCCCAUCUAUCUAUCCAUCUCCAGCCAUCCCCUCUAUCUAUCUACCCCCAGCCACCCCCUCUAUCUAUCUGUCCAUCCCCAGCCGCCCCCUCUAUCUGUCCCCAUCCACCCCCUCUAUCCAUCCCCUCUAUCUAUCUAUCCAUCCCUAGCCACCCCCUCUAUCUAUCCAUCUAUUUGUCCCACGCACCAGUCUCUCUGUCUCUCCCCACCCCCUGCCUGUCCAGCCCUGGUGCCCAGCUCAGCAGCUGACACUGAUUCACCGCCUGUCACCCUCCUGUGCGGUGACACACACCCGCGGGUGCCUGUUGUCACACUCGGUGCCCCAGGCAGGGCAGGGAACCAGAUCAGUUUCCAGGCCUCCUUAGGCCUAGGCGAGGCCGGGCUGCUCGGGGGGCCGGGCCGGGCACUGCCGUGGGGUGAAUCCAGCUGGUGCCUGGGGGGCCAGACCGGGCGCUGCCGUGGGGUGAAUCCAGCGGCUGCUCGAGGGGCCGGGCGCUGCCAUGGGGUGAAUCCAGCGGGUGCCUGGGGGGCCGGGCGCUGCUGUGGGGUGAAUCCAGCGGCUGCUCGAGGGGCCAGGCGCUGCCAUGGGGUGAAUCCAGCGGCUGCUUGAGGGGCCGGGCGCUGCCAUGGGGUGAAUCCAGUGGCUGCUCAGGGGUCCGGGCACUGCUGUGGGGCGAAUCCAGCGGGUGCCUGGGGGGCCAGGCUGGGUCCUUCCCGCUGUGUCCUGCGGGUCUCCUGGCACUGCUGGGCCGGGCGCUGGGAUCUCGCCAGGCCCCACGAUCCCUCUCCACAAACCAGUUCCCCCCCCCGGCACUUCACUACGAGCUGCACAACCGUUACUGAGGGGCCCACGAGCAAUUUCCCGAAUGUUUCAUUUUCAGCCUGAAACGUUCGUUUUCACUUUUCGAUUUGCAGCGAAGGUCCCAGCGGGCCGGCCCAUGGGUGCCCCAGAGCCCCCGGCCACGGC